CCUACGGGAGGCAGCAGUGGGGAAUAUUGCUCAAUGGGGGCAACCCUGAUGCAGCCACGCCGCGUGAGGGAGGAAGUAUUUCGGUAUGUAAAGCUCUAUCAGCAGGGAAUAGAAAAGAAGGUACCUGAAAAAGAAGCACCGGCUAACUACGUGCCAGCAGCCGGGGUACUACGUAGGGGGCACGCGUUAUCCGGAUUUACUGGGUGUAAAGGGAGCGUAGACGGAAAGGCAAGUCAGAAGUGGAGACCCAAGGCUCAACCAUGGGACUGCUUUUGAAACUGGCAAACUAGAGUACGGGAGAGGUAAGAGGAAUUCCUAGUGUAGCGGUGAAAUGCGUAGAUAUUAGGAAGAACACCAGUGGCGAAGGCGGCUUACUGGACCGAAACUGACGUUGAGGCUCGAAAGCGUGGGGAGCAAACAGGAUUAGAUACCCGGGUAGUC
This 441-nucleotide ribosomal RNA is filed under the name uncultured bacterium. RNAcentral's name for it is "partial 16S ribosomal RNA". It matches the Rfam family "Bacterial small subunit ribosomal RNA", at positions 338 to 795 of the family's 1533-position model. The record is from RNAcentral.